CCAGACGGUCGGGCGAUCGCCCCACCACAUGAGGUCAAUAAAACAACACAUUGAUUUUUAUUGAUUUCAUGCGGUGGGGAGGAAAGUCCGGGCUUCAGGGGAAAAGGGUGCCGGAUAACGUCCGGUUGGGGCGACUCAAAGGAAAGUGCCACAGAAAAAAGACUACCUGCCUCACGGCGGGAAAAGGUGAAAAGGUGCGGUAAGAGCGCACCGCGUUCCCGGCAACGGGAACGGCAUGGAAAACCCCACCCGAAGCAAAACCGAAUAGGAAUCACAUGGCGCAAAUCUGGGCUUCGGCCCAUAGAUGCGCGGCGCAUUCCCCGCGCGUGGUUCGGGUAGGUUGCUCGAGGCGUUCGGCGACGAACGUCCCAGAUGAAUGAUCGUCCGCCGCAAGGAUUGCGGUCGACAGAACCCGGCUUACAGGCCGUCUGGCGCU
This 436-nucleotide RNase P RNA is filed under the name Alphaproteobacteria bacterium. Its description in RNAcentral is "RNase P RNA component class A". It matches the Rfam family "Bacterial RNase P class A". From Rfam's summary of the family: Ribonuclease P (RNase P) is a ubiquitous endoribonuclease, found in archaea, bacteria and eukarya as well as chloroplasts and mitochondria. The record is from RNAcentral. Lineage: Bacteria; Pseudomonadati; Pseudomonadota; Alphaproteobacteria.